Molecule: ribosomal RNA, 334 nt
Filed under: uncultured prokaryote
Description: bacterial SSU rRNA
Rfam family: Bacterial small subunit ribosomal RNA
Source: RNAcentral
AGGACGAACGCUGGCGGCGUGCCUAAUACAUGCAAGUCGAACGAGGUCCAUCCAGUGGAAACACCGGAGAAGGCCUAGUGGCGAACGGGUGAGUACCACGUGAGCAACCUGUCCCGAAGACCGGGAUAACACCGGGAAACCGGUGCUAAUACCGGAUACCCCCACCGGAUCGCAUGGUCUGGUGAGGAAAUAGAUUCUGCUUCGGGAGGGGCUCGCGGCCUAUCAGCUAGUUGGUGAGGUAACGGCCCACCAAGGCUUCGACGGGUAGCUGGUCUGAGAGGACGAUCAGCCACACUGGGACUGAGACACGGCCCAGACUCCUACGGGAGGCAGC